AACGAACGCUGGCGGCAUGCCUAACACAUGCAAGUCGAACGAAGCCUUCGGGCUUAGUGGCGCACGGGUGCGUAACACGUGGGAAUCUGCCCUUCGGUUCGGAAUAACAGUUAGAAUGACUGCUAAUACCGGAUGAUGACGUAAGUCCAAAGAUUUAUCGCCGAAGGAUGAGCCCGCGUAGGAUUAGGUAGUUGGUAGGGUAAUGGCCUACCAAGCCGACGAUCCUUAGCUGGUCUGAGAGGAUGAUCAGCCACACUGGGACUGAGACACGGCCCAGACUCCUACGGGAGGCAGCAGUGGGGAAUAUUGGACAAUGGGCGAAAGCCUGAUCCAGCAAUGCCGCGUGAGUGAUGAAGGCCUUAGGGUUAUAAAGCUCUUUUACCAGGGAUGAUAAUGACAGUACCUGGAGAAUAAGCUCCGGCUAACUCCGUGCCAGCAGCCGCGGUAAU
This 449-nucleotide ribosomal RNA is filed under the name uncultured bacterium. RNAcentral describes it as "bacterial SSU rRNA". It matches the Rfam family "Bacterial small subunit ribosomal RNA", at positions 29 to 524 of the family's 1533-position model. The record is from RNAcentral.